GAUGAAGAACGCAGCGAAAUGCGAUAAGUAAUGUGAAUUGCAGAAUUCAGUGAAUCAUCGAAUCUUUGAACGCACAUUGCGCCCCUUGGUAUUCCGAGGGGCAUGCCUGUUCGAGCGUCAUUAUAACCCCACAAGCUCAGCUUGGUGUUGGGGCCUGCUGCACUGGCAGCCCUUAAAAUCAGUGGCGGCGCCAUCUGGCUCUAAGCGUAGUAAUUCUUCUCGCUAUGGAGUCCUGGUGGAUGCUUGCCAUCAACCCCCAAUUUUUCUAUGGUUGACCUCGGAUCAGGUAGGGAUACCCGCUGAACUUAAGCAUAUCAAUAAGCGGAGGA
This 329-nucleotide unclassified non-coding RNA is filed under the name soil metagenome. Its description in RNAcentral is "partial contains 5.8S ribosomal RNA, internal transcribed spacer 2, and large subunit ribosomal RNA". The stretch from base 1 to 120 matches the Rfam family "5.8S ribosomal RNA", at positions 35 to 154 of the family's 154-position model. The record is from RNAcentral.